RNAcentral lists this small RNA (139 nucleotides) under Pedobacter soli. RNAcentral's name for it is "Flavo-1 RNA". It matches the Rfam family "Flavo-1 RNA". The record is from RNAcentral. Lineage: Bacteria; Pseudomonadati; Bacteroidota; Sphingobacteriia; Sphingobacteriales; Sphingobacteriaceae.
GUCUAAACCCGACUGUAGCAGAAAUCCUUUUUGCUUGUAGUAACGUUGAAUACGAAGUGUUUGUUGCCGAUGAAAACAGUUCCUUCAUGCUUUAGAAGACCGUGGUGCAAAAAGAUUGUAGCGUAAGGCGGGACUGCUG